This is a long non-coding RNA of Sabethes cyaneus, 583 nucleotides long. RefSeq lists it as uncharacterized. The transcript has 3 exons. NCBI's taxonomy places the organism in Eukaryota, Metazoa, Arthropoda, Insecta, Diptera, Culicidae. The record is from RefSeq and is a predicted model, not a curated record.
AAAAAGCUCAAACUCAGUCUUGAUGUUUCAAGAUUAGUUUGCUUCUUAUUAACAUUCCAUUUUUUUUUUGUAUAUUUUGCAAAUAAAAUUUGACAAAUCAAAUGUACCUUAGAGGAGCAGCGAGGAACCAGACGCAUGCUGGAAGCUUCCAUACUGAAGACUCAAUCUAAUCUAAUUAACACAAAAAAAUGUUGCAAAUGCAGAUUUCGCUUUGCAAACGAACUAGCGACACAGAAACUCUUCAGUGGUAUCACUUGGAAGGUUUAGUUACAAAGAAGGACUAUCGAUUUACAUAAAAUGAAUCUGAGGAGAAUUUUUCAAAAUUAUGGCGAUUCAGUUUGAUUAAAACGCUUAAUAUAGGGGAAGGGCGGUAAAGACGGACACCUUAAGGUAAUGAUAUGACCCUAGAAGAAUCGCAUAUAGGUUUCAAGAAGAAAUGUAUAGAGCUCUUAAAUUGCUAGAAAUUGUUUUAUUGAGUACGUAGUUUAAAUUCAGUGUCGCUUGUUCUAUUGUUAAGAUCAAUGUAACGGAAAAAAGACAUUUUGUCUUAUGUUACGUGUUAUAAAUAAAUAAACUAAACUAA